Molecule: ribosomal RNA, 241 nt
Filed under: uncultured bacterium
Lineage: Bacteria
Description: partial 16S ribosomal RNA
Rfam family: Bacterial small subunit ribosomal RNA
Source: RNAcentral
GAUCAUGGCUCAGGAUGAACGCUAGCUACAGGCUUAACACAUGCAAGUCGCGGGGCAGCAUGAAGGAUGCUUGCAUCUUUUGAUGGCGACCGGCGCACGGGUGAGUAACGCGUAUCCAACCUGGCCUGUUACCAACGGCACAGCCCGUCGAAAGGCGGAUUAAUGCCGUAUGUGGUCCUUUGCGGGCAUCUAAUUAAGGACUAAAGGUUCGGCGGUAACGGAUGGGGAUGCGUCCGAUUAG